This 200-nucleotide ribosomal RNA is filed under the name uncultured bacterium. Its description in RNAcentral is "partial 16S ribosomal RNA". It matches the Rfam family "Bacterial small subunit ribosomal RNA", at positions 8 to 205 of the family's 1533-position model. The record is from RNAcentral.
AGAGUUUGAUCCUGGCUCAGAGCGAACGCUGGCGGCGUGCUUAACACAUGCAAGUCGAGUGCGCGUCCGUAGCAAUACGGAUGGCGCACGGCGCACGGGUGCGUAACACGUGGGCAAUCUGCCCUCGGAUGGGGGAUAACCCCGCGAAAGCGGGGCUAAUACCGCAUGACAUUCCGGCGACUCCGGUCGCUGGACUCAAA